This 256-nucleotide ribosomal RNA is filed under the name uncultured bacterium. RNAcentral describes it as "partial 16S ribosomal RNA". It matches the Rfam family "Bacterial small subunit ribosomal RNA", at positions 524 to 776 of the family's 1533-position model. The record is from RNAcentral.
UACAGAGGGUGCGAGCGUUGUUCGGAAUUAUUGGGCGUAAAGCGCUUGUAGGCGGCACGUCAAGUCGCGUGUGAAAUCCCCCAGGCUUAACCUGGGAAGUGCGCGCGAAACUGACGAGCUUGAGUGCCGGAGAGGGUCGCGGAAUUCCCGGUGUAGAGGUGAAAUUCGUAGAUAUCGGGAGGAACACCAGUGGCGAAGGCGGCGACCUGGACGGACACUGACGCUGAGACGCGAAAAGCGUGGGGGAGCAAACAGG